Molecule: ribosomal RNA, 428 nt
Filed under: uncultured prokaryote
Description: bacterial SSU rRNA
Rfam family: Bacterial small subunit ribosomal RNA
Source: RNAcentral
UAGGGAAUCUUCCGCAAUGGACGCAAGUCUGACGGAGCAACGCCGCGUGAGUGAUGAAGGUUUUCGGAUCGUAAAGCUCUGUUGUUAGGGAAGAACAAGUACCGUUCGAAUAGGGCGGCACCUUGACGGUACCUAACCAGAAAGCCACGGCUAACUACGUGCCAGCAGCCGCGGUAAUACGUAGGUGGCAAGCGUUGUCCGGAAUUAUUGGGCGUAAAGGGCUCGCAGGCGGUUUCUUAAGUCUGAUGUGAAAGCCCCCGGCUCAACCGGGGAGGGUCAUUGGAAACUGGGGAACUUGAGUGCAGAAGAGGAGAGUGGAAUUCCACGUGUAGCGGUGAAAUGCGUAGAGAUGUGGAGGAACACCAGUGGCGAAGGCGACUCUCUGGUCUGUAACUGACGCUGAGGCUCGAAAGCGUGGGGAGCAAACA